RNAcentral lists this ribosomal RNA (497 nucleotides) under uncultured bacterium. Its description in RNAcentral is "partial 16S ribosomal RNA". It matches the Rfam family "Bacterial small subunit ribosomal RNA", at positions 28 to 507 of the family's 1533-position model. The record is from RNAcentral.
GAUGAACGCUGGCGGCGUGCCUAAUACAUGCAAGUCGAACGGAAGGACGCGACGCUUGGGUCUCUCAUGUUGGCGACGGGCGGGUGAGUCACGCGUGGAUAACCUUCCUCUACGGCUUAGAUCACUUCAACUGACCCUAGCUCAUACCAGAUAAUAUUUUGAACCGGAUGGUUCGAAAGUGAAAUCCGGUCUUGCUGUCCCUUCUGGCUGGCUCCGCGCUGCAUUAGCUAGUUCGUAAGGUAACGGCUUACGAAGGCCACGAUGGAUAGCCGAACUGAGAGGGGGAUCGGCGACUGUGGAGGUGGGCCACGGCCCAGACUCUUACGGGAGGCAGCGGCACCGAAGCUUCCGCAAUGGGCGAAAGCCUGACCGAGCAACGCCGCGUGAGUGAUGAGGGUCUGCGGAUCGGAAAACGCUGUUAGUGGGGAAGAACAUAUGUGUAAGGAACGGUGCUCAUCGUGACGGUACCUAGACAGAAAGCCCCGGCUAACUACGUG